Molecule: ribosomal RNA, 504 nt
Filed under: uncultured bacterium
Lineage: Bacteria
Description: partial 16S ribosomal RNA
Rfam family: Bacterial small subunit ribosomal RNA
Source: RNAcentral
AUUGAACGCUGGCGGCAGGCCUAACACAUGCAAGUCGAGCGGUAACACAGAGAGCUUGCUCUCGGGUGACGAGCGGCGGACGGGUGAGUAAUGUCUGGGAAACUGCCUGAUGGAGGGGGAUAACUACUGGAAACGGUAGCUAAUACCGCAUAACGUCGCAAGACCAAAGAGGGGGACCUUCGGGCCUCUUGCCAUCAGAUGUGCCCAGAUGGGAUUAGCUAGUAGGUGGGGUAACGGCUCACCUAGGCGACGAUCCCUAGCUGGUCUGAGAGGAUGACCGGCCACACUGGAACUGAGACACGGUCCAGACUCCUACGGGAGGCAGCAGUGGGGAAUAUUGCACAAUGGGCGCAAGCCUGAUGCAGCCAUGCCGCGUGUAUGAAGAAGGCCUUCGGGUUGUAAAGUACUUUCAGCGGGGAGGAAGGCGAUAAGGUUAAUAACCUUGUCGAUUGACGUUACCCGCAGAAGAAGCACCGGCUAACUCCGUGCCAGCCGCCGCGGUAA